RNAcentral lists this long non-coding RNA (317 nucleotides) under Vitis vinifera (wine grape). RNAcentral describes it as "long non-coding RNA (VVIN_LNC000061)". Lineage: Eukaryota; Viridiplantae; Streptophyta; Magnoliopsida; Vitales; Vitaceae. The record is from RNAcentral.
GCUUUUAUCAUUGCUGGGCUCCAUACUUUACUACUGGGCCCACUCCAGGGCUGAUACUGGAGGCUGGGAAAAGCAUAGGAGCGAAGGCCUUGGCAUGACGCAGCAGCAACAAAACAACGAAUUUGGGAAGCUGUAAUUUUGUUUUAAGAUUAGGAUAACACCACAGUUUUGGUGACAUCAAAUACCAUAUGGGCCUUGUUAAGCUAUGCUGCUGGAUGGAUACCUUUAUGUUGAGAAGCUGUAAUUUUGUUUUAUGAUAAAGGGGAAUCCCGCAGUUUCAGUGACAUCAAAUAUUAUAUGGGUCUUGUUAAGCUAUG